GCCUUAGUAGCGGCGAGUGAGCGGCAAAAGCUCAAAUUUGAAAUCUGGCGCCUUCGGUGUCCGAGUUGUAAUUUGAAGAUUGUAACCUUGGGGUUGGCUCUUGUCUAUGUUUCUUGGAACAGGACGUCACAGAGGGUGAGAAUCCCGUGCGAUGAGAUGCCCAAUUCUAUGUAAGGUGCUUUCGAAGAGUCGAGUUGUUUGGGAAUGCAGCUCUAAGUGGGUGGUAAAUUCCAUCUAAAGCUAAAUAUUGGCGAGAGACCGAUAGCGAACAAGUACAGUGAUGGAAAGAUGAAAAGAACUUUGAAAAGAGAGUGAAAAAGUACGUGAAAUUGUUGAAAGGGAAGGGUUUGAGAUCAGACUCGAUAUUUUGUGAGCCUUGCCUUCGUGGCGGGGUGACCCGCAGCUUAUCGGGCCAGCAUCGGUUUGGGCGGUAGGAUAAUGGCGUAGGAAUGUGACUUUACUUCGGUGAAGUGUUAUAGCCUGCGUUGAUGCUGCCUGCCUAGACCGAGGACUGCGAUUUUAUCAAGGAUGCUGGCAUAAUGAUCCCAAACCGCCCGUCUUGAACCACGGACCAAAA
This 577-nucleotide ribosomal RNA is filed under the name Meyerozyma guilliermondii. RNAcentral describes it as "eukaryotic LSU rRNA". It matches the Rfam family "Eukaryotic large subunit ribosomal RNA", at positions 77 to 671 of the family's 3401-position model. The record is from RNAcentral. Lineage: Eukaryota; Fungi; Ascomycota; Pichiomycetes; Serinales; Debaryomycetaceae.